GAUGAACGCUAGCUACAGGCUUAACACAUGCAAGUCGAGGGGUAACGAGAGGAAGGCUUGCUUUCCUUGUCGACGACCGGCGCACGGGUGAGUAACGCGUAUCCAACCUGCCCCCAACUAGGGAAUAACCUUGCGAAAGUAAGACUAAUACCCUAUAAUUUCCUCAGAUGUCAUCUGACGAGGAAUAAAGAUUUAUCGGUUGUGGAUGGGGAUGCGUCUGAUUAGCUUGUUGGUGGGGUAUCGGCCCACCAAGGCAACCAUCAGUAGGGGUUCUGAGAGGAAGGUCCCCCCCAUUGGAACUGAGACACGGUCCAAACUCCUACGGGAGGCAGCAGUGAGGAAUAUUGGUCAAUGGGCGGAAGCCUGAACCAGCCAAGUAGCGUGCAGGAUGACGGCCCUAUGGGUUGUAAACUGCUUUUAUACAGGAAUAAAGUUAGCCACGUGUGGUUAUUUGUAGGUACUGUAUGAAUAAGGACCGGCUAAUUCCGUGCCAGCCGCCGCCGUAA
This 506-nucleotide ribosomal RNA is filed under the name uncultured bacterium. Its description in RNAcentral is "partial 16S ribosomal RNA". It matches the Rfam family "Bacterial small subunit ribosomal RNA", at positions 28 to 523 of the family's 1533-position model. The record is from RNAcentral.